This 22-nucleotide microRNA is filed under the name Manihot esculenta (cassava). Its description in RNAcentral is "mes-miR2118". The record is from miRBase by way of RNAcentral. Lineage: Eukaryota; Viridiplantae; Streptophyta; Magnoliopsida; Malpighiales; Euphorbiaceae.
GUUCCCAUGCCACCCAUUUCUA